This 421-nucleotide ribosomal RNA is filed under the name uncultured bacterium. RNAcentral's name for it is "bacterial SSU rRNA". It matches the Rfam family "Bacterial small subunit ribosomal RNA", at positions 356 to 774 of the family's 1533-position model. The record is from RNAcentral.
GAGGAAUAUUGGUCAAUGGGGGCAACCCUGAACCAGCCAAGUCGCGUGAAGGAUGAAGGUCUUAUGGAUUGUAAACUUCUUUUACACGGGAAUAAAGUGGGGGACGUGUCCCCCUUUGCAUGUACCGUGUGAAUAAGGAUCGGCUAACUCCGUGCCAGCAGCCGCGGUAAUACGGAGGAUCCGAGCGUUAUCCGGAUUUAUUGGGUUUAAAGGGUGCGCAGGCGGGAUGUUAAGUCGGCGGUGAAAUUUUGCAGCUCAACUGUAAAAGUGCCUUCGAUACUGGCCUCCUUGAGUGUGGAUGAAGUAGGCGGAAUUUGUGGUGUAGCGGUGAAAUGCUUAGAUAUCACGAGGAACUCCGAUUGCGCAGGCAGCUUACUAAGCCACAACUGACGCUCAUGCACGAAGGCGUGGGGAUCAAACA